UGGGGGAGGUGGCACGAGCUGUCAGCUUCGAGCAGGAAGCCAACCCAGCCCGCGGCACCCGGAGGGCGAACAGUUGAAUGAAACACACACUUGGUGAGGAUGUUCGGCUUACAGAUGUCACUAAGCUGAAGCCGUGAUCGCUAGGAGCCAAUAAAUCGCGGCUUGCGGCCUUGGACCCCACCGACCUGACGCUCUCUUUCCUCACCUGCGGCCGAGAAGGGAUACGGGAUAAGCCGCUUCUUGGCCGCAAGUCCUGGGAAUACUAUUUUGUGUUUGGAAACUGCCAGAGAAUCACUGAUGAGCCAGUCCAUUGCUCCGAGUACGUUGGUCGUGGUGGGCUCCCUUCCGGUGACUGAGGCAGAAGCCAGGGAGAGCACAAGUUCUGGUGGAAUGAACUUCACCCUUGCUUGGGAAUCAACAUGGGAAAUACAAUAGGGUGCAUUUGAGAAACAGUAUCCCCGAUGUCUACGAAAGGCCAGGCAGGUGCCAAUCACUUUGAUUCGAUUCUCCUAACAACCCUGUCCACAAACUCAGUUUACAGCUGACACAACGCAGGCAGAGAGACGGAAUGAUUUGUCUGAGGUCAUACGGAAUGAUUAGUGCUGCAGAACCGUGAUUUAGACCCAGACCUCCCAGACUGCAAAAUGUAAGGACUUCCCACUAGCAGUAAUCCUCACAGGUCUAAAAUAUCUACUACAUCUGUCACAUAUGUACCACACAAGUGUGCUUUUGAUGAGACUACCAUAUAUUCCUGUAUUUCAUAGAGCAUAACUCAGAGGGAAAGAAGAACCUUGCAAUAUUUCAAGAUUAUUGUAAUAUGUUCAUAUUUAAUGAAGUAUGCAUAAUAUUUAUGUAGUAUUUUAACUCGAAGAGUUUUGUACCUCAGUCUUAUCAUCGUCCGGCUUAUUUACUCUCCCCCACCUCUGUGUGGCCCCAUUGAUGUGGUGAGUCUCUGCUGGCCAUUGGUUGGGUCUGUUGUUAGUAGUCCCAGGUAUGGGUUGGCAGAGCGGGAGCCUCACAUCCUGUUCCCCCAUGACCUGUGUCGUGUUCUACUCCCAUGGUAAG
This 1065-nucleotide long non-coding RNA is filed under the name Felis catus (domestic cat). RNAcentral's name for it is "lncRNA (ENSFCAG00000041265.2)". The record is from RNAcentral. Lineage: Eukaryota; Metazoa; Chordata; Mammalia; Carnivora; Felidae.